CCAACAGGGAUUGCCUCAGUAACGGCGAGUGAAGCGGCAACAGCUCAAAUUUGAAAUCUGGCUCCUUCGGGGUCCGAGUUGUAAUUUGUAGAGGAUGCUUCGGGUGCGGCGCCGGUCGAAGUCCCUUGGAACAGGGUGUCACAGAGGGUGAGAAUCCCGUACGUGGCCGGCGACCAAGCCCGUGUGAAGCUCCUUCGACGAGUCGAGUUGUUUGGGAAUGCAGCUCAAAAUGGGUGGUAAAUUUCAUCUAAAGCUAAAUACCGGCCAGAGACCGAUAGCGCACAAGUAGAGUGAUCGAAAGAUGAAAAGCACUUUGGAAAGAGAGUUAAAAAGUACGUGAAAUUGUUGAAAGGGAAGCGCUUGCAACCAGACCUGCCCGUGGGUGCUCAGCGGGGGCUCGCCCCCGCGCACUCGCCCACGAUCAGGCCAGCAUCAGUUCCGGCGACCGGAUAAAGGCCCCAGGAAUGUGGCUCCCCUCGGGGAGUGUUAUAGCCUGGGGCGGCAUACGGCCAGCCGGGACUGAGGACCGCGCUUCGGCAAGGAUGCUGGCGUAAUGGUUGCAAGCGGCCCGUCUUGAAACACGGACCAAGGAGUCUAACAUCUAUGCGAGUGUUUGGGUGUCAAACCCAUGCGCGCAAUGAAAGUGAAUGGAGGUCGGAGCCCAUCAGGGUGCACGAUCGACCGAUCUUGAAGUUUACGGAUGGAUUUGAGUAUGAGCAUAGCUGUUGGGACCCGAAAGAUGGUGAACUAUGCCUGAAUAGGGUGAAGCCAGAGGAAACUCUGGUGGAGGCUCGCAGCGGUUCUGACGUGCAAAUCGAUCGUCAAAUUUGGGUAUAGGGGCGAAAGACUAAUCGAACCAUGGCGGAGAGGGGUUGCUAGGUGGUUAAUUGGAGCGGCGGUCCUGACCGCCGCUCUCAGCCUUUCGAGGCGACAAUGCUUGGGUGCGUGGAUCCGGGCCCCUUCACCGAGGCCUGGGGAUAUGCAGCGGCCGCGAGAGCGUCCCGUACACAGACCAAACAGCAUUGGCCGGUGGUGCCCACCGGUUGCGAUAUGGCCGAGUCCCCGCUCCCACUGGAGCGGGGUGUACCG
This 1089-nucleotide ribosomal RNA is filed under the name Bacidia caucasica. RNAcentral describes it as "Bacidia sp. JVG-2023a partial large subunit ribosomal RNA". It matches the Rfam family "Eukaryotic large subunit ribosomal RNA", at positions 65 to 1170 of the family's 3401-position model. The record is from RNAcentral. Lineage: Eukaryota; Fungi; Ascomycota; Lecanoromycetes; Lecanorales; Ramalinaceae.